UUGUGGAGGAGGACGCCGAAGGUGGGGCUAAUGACUGGGGUGAAGUCGUAACAAGGUAGCCGUACCGGAAGGUGCGGCUGGAUCACCUCCUAACAGGGAGACAACAAAAUGUUUAAAUUAUUAUUUUGUCACCUUAGGUCGAUCGGUAUCUCACAUUCUUAUUUAAUAAGGAUUUUAUUUCCUAAGUUUUUUCUAGGUCACACCCAUUACUUUUCCUGGGCCAUUAGCUCAGGUGGUUAGAGCGCACCCCUGAUAAGGGUGAGGUCCCUGGUUCAAGUCCAGGAUGGCCCAUAUCUCUAUGUUGGGGGUAUAGCUCAGUUGGUAGAGCGCCUGCUUUGCAAGCAGGAUGUCAGCGGUUCGAGUCCGCUUACCUCCACUGAUUACCACCUCUUACAUAACUUUUAUUCAGGAAAUGUUUUGAGUAGUGAUCAAAUUCUGAACGAAUCUAGCUUCCUAAUGAAAUCAUUAAGAUGCUGGACUCAUUGAAUUAAUUUCAUUGUUUUCAGAGAACCUUGACAACUGCAUAGAUUAUUUUUAAAGACAAUAAGCAUCUUUGUGAUGCAGAUUUAUUAUUUGUGCGAAUGCAUUAAUAACAAUUCUAUUAAGCUGAUGCUUCAAUUAUGAAGUUAUUGGUCAAGCUACAA
RNAcentral lists this unclassified non-coding RNA (644 nucleotides) under uncultured Prochlorococcus sp. RNAcentral describes it as "partial 16S-23S ribosomal RNA intergenic spacer; may also contain 16S ribosomal RNA and 23S ribosomal RNA". The stretch from base 304 to 376 matches the Rfam family "tRNA". Lineage: Bacteria; Bacillati; Cyanobacteriota; Cyanophyceae; Synechococcales; Prochlorococcaceae. The record is from RNAcentral.